ACUAUUCCCUGGGAUUGGCUUUGGGCCUUUCCUGCGCAGCUUAGGUGGAUGGCGAAGGAGGCCUUCUUUCACGAAGUCCGAGCCAUCAGUGAGAUACCACUCUGGAAAGGCUAGAAUAUAUUCUAACAUUCUAUCAGGACCUACGGGUCAAGGGACAGUUUCAGAUAGACAGUUUCUAUGGGGCGUAGGCCUCCCAAAAGGUAACGGAGGUGUGUGCAUGUAGC
This 224-nucleotide non-coding RNA is filed under the name Ipomoea nil (Japanese morning glory). Its description in RNAcentral is "Bacterial large subunit ribosomal RNA". It matches the Rfam family "Bacterial large subunit ribosomal RNA", at positions 2103 to 2320 of the family's 2925-position model. Lineage: Eukaryota; Viridiplantae; Streptophyta; Magnoliopsida; Solanales; Convolvulaceae. The record is from Rfam by way of RNAcentral.